Molecule: long non-coding RNA, 1844 nt
Filed under: Oryctolagus cuniculus (rabbit)
Lineage: Eukaryota; Metazoa; Chordata; Mammalia; Lagomorpha; Leporidae
Description: lncRNA (ENSOCUG00000039062.1)
Source: RNAcentral
CCGACACGUUGACCCACUGGUAGUAGACGGCCGCCCAGAACUCGAUGGACACAAAGGGCACCAAAUUGCUGCAGAACUCCUAGAGGUGCCACGAGGUGCUGCAGACGAGGCUCAAGGCCAGGGCCCAGGACAAUGCCACACACAGGAGGCUGAGCAGCCGACAGACCCACGGCUUCACGGCAGAGACGCAGACUAGAGAGGAAACAACAACAACAACAAAAAACACAGAUUUCAUGAGCCACUGUUCAGGGAGGAUUGUGGGACCCUGAGCCUGAAAUCCAUCCAGGUCUCAGCAGGGACCUGUACAGGGCCCUGAGCCUACCCCCAGGACCUCCAUCCGGGUGUCCAGCAGGUGUACAGGGGCCCUGAGCCACCCCCAGGACCUCCAUCCGGGUCUCAGCAGGUGCACAGGGGCCCUGACCCAGAAAUCCAUCUGGGUCUCAGCAGGUACACAAAGGGCCCUGACCCAGAAAUCCAUCCGGGUCUCAGCAGGUGCACGGGGUCCCCAGGAGCUCCAUCCGGGUUUCAGCAGGUGCACAAAUGGUCCUGAGCCUGAAAUCCAUCCAGGUCUCUACAGGUGCAUGGAGCCCUGAGCCCACCCCCAGGACCUCCAUCCUGGUCCCCAGCAGGGGGAGUCAGCGUCCACUCACCCGCUGUGCAGUGUCCAAAUGAACCAGACGUGGUGCGAGAAAAAGGCUGGUGGCUUGCGGGCCCCUCAGGGUAGACACUGCAGCCAUAGGUUCUCAUCUCUCCUCCCUACCCCCAACUAGAGGAGGGGUCACCAGCACACCCUUAACCCUCCUCUCUCUCUCUGCUGAGCCCUCCACGCUUGGCCCAAAGUCCACAGUCUGUGUCAACUCACUGCCUUCUAAAUUCUCAUAAUGGCAUUGCUGUCUUUAUGAUGUCAUGGCCACUGCCUCCUGGGAUUUGGUAUCCAUCUACACUGCCUCCCGGGACUCUAUCCAUCUACACUGCCUUCCGGGGGUCAGCAAGGGCAGGAGGCCAGACUGGGGAGCCAGGGCUGGGAUUUGAACACGGGUCUUCUAAGGGUGACCUGAUUCCCCAAGUUUUCGGAAGACAUUGGAAGCAAGGUCUCUGUCCCAGACCUUGAUCUCUCAGAAUAGCUGUGUCUGGGAUCUGACCUCAUUUUAUGUUGCCAACAUAAGUUCCAUAGACCAGGUAACUACAUUAAAUUCUCAUCCACCAUUAGCUGCAGACAGGCAUUAAUCUAAACUCAGAUCCAGAGAUUAGCCAUUUUUUGAAUAUGAUACAAUGUGUGGGGUUUUGCUUCUGAUUUCUUCUCUCUUUAUUAAAAAAAUAUUUUGACUUUCAUUAUUUUUGUGGUCUUUCAUUUCUUCAUUAAUUUUUAUUGCCAAAUACUAUGCCAUUAUAAAAGAUAUACUGAACUCUGUUUUUCUUGCACAUUAGUAUUUGGGUUGCUUUCAUAUUUGGCUUUCAUGAAUAUUGCUGCAGUGAGCCAUUAUGGGCAUAUAAAUUUUGUAUCUUUUAAUGGCCUACCUGGGAGAUAACCUGCUGAAGCUAUAAAUAGUCCCAUGUAGAACAUGCUGAAAAACUGUCAAAUUAUUUUUCAUAAUGCCUGCACUAUUUUAUUUAGGUAUAUGAUGCUUCCGUGUUCUUAAUGUCCCUGUCAACAUUUAUCUAUGGCUGAAUCAGUCAUUUUACUAUAUAUGAAUUUAUAUCUUCCUGAAGAUUUGAUUGCAUUUCAAAUGACUACUAUUUUUUGCUGUAUUAAAAUUUAAGUCUCUUACUGAAAUCACUGCUUUAUUUUAAAAAUUGCAUGUUCUUAUAUUUUGUAUUUUUCAAAUAUGAAAUCCAAGUUUUUU